CCAUGCAUGAAUCCAACGGGGUGAACCUGUCUGGAGAUGUAGCGUGUGGGUAUUCUCAUGGCAGAGUAGUGUAAGGUUCUAAGUUUGCAUGAUUGCGACUUUCCGUAGAGGGUGUAAGGCCCGUAAGGACUGCCACUACUUUGCUAGAGAAGGCCUAAGAGUCGGGUUGCUUGAGAAUGCAGCUCUAAUCAGGUGGUAAACUCCAUCUAAGGCUAAAUAUAACACGAUUCCGAUAGCAAACAAGUACCGUGAGGGAAAGUUGAAAAGGACUUUGAAGAGAAAGUUAAAUAGUACGUGAAAUUGCUCAGAGGUAAGCGGAUGUAGCCGAAAGGGAGGUGGUAGUGAUGGUAAUUAUUAUGGGAAUGUAAGCAGUUAGAUAUCAUUAACGAGUCAACUGUUUAUUUUUCUUGUAUACUUGCCUGAUGCUCCAUCUUUAUACCACAAGUGGAGACUGAUAUUGUUGUGUUUUGGCAAGGUAGCGUGAGCCUUCUUGGUUUGCGUGUUAUAUGCUGAUGUCACUCUAUUGAUGUUUUCAUACGCGGUCCGUCUAUAUGCACCUUAUGGAUCCGUUGUUUUCUUGAUGAUGGACUCUUAUGAGUCCUAGUCAUGAUGAUUUCGGUGAAGUGAGCUCUGUUUAUGGAGUAGACUUUGUGGUUCCAAAAGUAGGUCAUAUAUCCGACCCGUCUUGAAACACGGACCAAGGAGUUUAGUUUGUACGCAAGUCGUAGGGCUUCAAACCCCGAAGGCGAAGUGAAAGUAAAGGGUACAUUACGUACCUGAGGUGUGAUCUGUAAUCUACGGAGAGCAGCGCAACACCGACUCGUCCUUGACUUUUUAAGUUGGGCGACGUAAGAGCGUACAGACUGAGACCCGAAAGAUGGUGAUCUAUGCUUGUGUAGGCUGAAGCCAGAGGAAACUCUGGUGGAGGGCCGCAGCGGUUCUGACGUGCAAAUCGAUCGUCAAACAUGAGUAUAGGGGCGAAAGACUAAUCGAACCAUCUAGUAGCUGGUUCCCUCUGAAGUUUCCCUCAGGAUAGCUGGCGCUCGGGAAACAAAAAGUUUUAUCCGGUAAAGCGAACAUUUAGACGUAAUGGGUUCGAAACGAUCUCAACGUAUUCGUGAACUUUUAAUGGGUGAGAUGUCAUGCUAGCUUUAUUUGUAGCUUGACAUUGAAUUUGAGUGCCUAGUGGGCCAAUUUUGGUAAGCAGAACUGGCGCUGCGGGAUGAACCGAACGUGUGGUUAAGGUGCCAAACACGACGCUCAUGAGACACCACAAAAGGUGUUGGUUGAUAU
RNAcentral lists this ribosomal RNA (1293 nucleotides) under Tamanawas kalipis. RNAcentral's name for it is "LSU rRNA". It matches the Rfam family "Eukaryotic large subunit ribosomal RNA", at positions 109 to 1234 of the family's 3401-position model. Lineage: Eukaryota; Metazoa; Platyhelminthes; Rhabdocoela; Provorticidae. The record is from RNAcentral.